This is a long non-coding RNA of Gasterosteus aculeatus aculeatus (three-spined stickleback), 8718 nucleotides long. The record is from Ensembl. Lineage: Eukaryota; Metazoa; Chordata; Actinopteri; Perciformes; Gasterosteidae.
UAUGAGGAAAUGACUCUACUUCUCUGUAGUGACCAGCAGGGGGCGACUCCUCUGCUCCCAUAGACGUCUAUGAGGAAAUGACUCUACUUCUCUCUUGAUUUAUUCCCUCAGUAAACAUUGUAAACAUGAGUUUAUAGUCUCAGUCUCUAGUUUCAAGUCUUCUUCAGCACAACAUGAUGUUCAUUUAGUGACUGAUGAUCCAUUUAGAGUCAAACAGACCAUAAAGGUGCCAAAAGGAAUUCUUCACAAAGUAUCUUCUUCCCGUUGUACUACAUAGCUUUAUUUGCCUGUUAUGGGGUUAUGUGGUUGACAGAAGGUCAGGACCGAGGAAGUCGGUCUACAUUCUGCUCUGGUCUGGAAUCACUUUCUCAUCCUCUGAGGCUGACAAAAGUCUGCAAUGAGUAUGAAGCGUUCUGAAUAUUAGGUGCCGAACGCCGUCUGAGCCUCGAGAUGGGAGAUGAAAAAAAGUGUCAAAUAGCGAUCUGAUAAAAUCCUGAUAAGGAAUCAAUUAGCUGCACCGGAUACAUCUACGCGCUUUAUCUCCACUAACUGUACACGUGUGCUGCUCCCACCUGCUCGCCCGCUUUCACACACCGGAAUCCUGAACAAAAACUAUCUUCUGGAGCCGUCAGAGCUCCGUCACCAUGGAGACCACACUGUCACCGACUGCACACACAGAGUAAUCAUCAUCUCAUCUUGGAUAAACUAAAUCACAAGUUUGCAUUUACAGUAAACCGACAAAUCACCUCAAUCCAGGCAGACCUGCACCUUCAGGCGCUGGCGUAGCACAGGAGCGCUAACGCUAAGACCGAGCGCUAACUCAGCGUGCAAUGGGUACGAAUGUACGGAGGCCACAUUGAGACACGCUCCGAUCUGUAACAAUGGGUUUCAGGGGGACGGGGAAAUGACAUCGUUAUCAUGAUGGGUUCAAAUGCAAUCAUGUCAUUUCUGAAAUUUGAAUAAAUCUUGUUGCUUGACGUUUUCACAUCAACAUAAAAUAGAUAUUAGUGAUGUCGUUUCUACUCCCACAAACCCUCAGCUGUAAUAAUACAUGAUUAGAACUACUAAUGUCUUUCUAAAUGUUGUUAGAAAUGAAUUAUUUGAAGGAAAUAAAAUAAUUUAUUUAUUAAUUUAUAAAGUUCUUCUGGAUUUAUUUAAUAACACGCUUACAUUUGAUAAAAGGAACAAUGUGAUGACGUGGUUGGACCACGACAAACUCCAAAUCCACCAAACCCGCCUGAACACAGCGUCGAUGACGAAGCUACCUGAUUGGCCAGCUGGGAUUCUAGGGGCGGGACUUAGUGAUAAGCUGAGUGGAAGCUUUUGGAUGAACAUAUGUGAUUCAAACGUUCCCAACAAUAAAUGGUGAAAUGUCUGCUGGUUACAAAAUGAAACUCCAAACUCAAGCAAAACGUCCACAAACCGACAGGUUACGUCGCUACGACCGCGUCCACUUCCUGUCCAAAGUCCUCGCUGUCUCUCGCUGAACUUCCCAAAGAAACAUUAGUUUAUUUUUAGGCUUCACCUUUAAACAAAAUGUUCUGAAUGAAUCUCAGUUCCCUCAGGUGAACAGUCCGUGCACGCACACAGACACACAAAUGACCACUUCAGAGGUUUCAGCUGUGUGGGGAUAAGAAGGCCUGGAGGAUCACACACACACACACACACACACACAGACACACACACAGACACACAAACGAACACACAGGACACACACACACACUAAUGCACACGGAUAAAAGCGAUGAACAGUCUGGUUUCUGUUCUGACGGGAAAGUCUGCGACUCAGUAAGCGAAAUGAAACGAAUACGGUCACUGCAGAGAGAAAAGAGAUGGAGUUUGCGGAUGCAGGAUAAGUGGGUGGAUGAAUGAGUGGAGAGUGAAUGAACGGAUGGAGAGCAGAUGGAUGGAGAGAGGGUGGAUGGAUGAGGGAUGUUUUGGUGGACGAAUGGAUGGAGGUGGAGGGAGAGUGAGAGGAUGGAGAAUGAAUGAAUGGAUGAAAGGUGGAUGAACAGAGAGAGGGUUGGUGGGUGGAUUAAUGGAUGGAAGACGAAUGGAUGAAUGGAGGGUUGGGUGGAGGAACAGUAGAGGGUGGAUGAAUAGCGGUAGUGGGGUAAUUACUCGCCUGUGACUGUGACUCAGCAGGGGGGGUCGAUGGUAGAGUAGAGCGAUAUACUGAGAUGUAAAUUACCCGUGUGUGUGUCAUUGAGCAACACUUUGUCCAGUGAAGAAGGUGCCGUGCUGCCUCGGUCCAUUCACUUUGUCGUGUGGGGGACCCGGCUAGUACGAGACGUCCCGUGCCCACAAGUCUCCUGGAACUGAUGGAGCACAACGCGUCCUUCAUCAGAUGCAGGUGACUGUCACGUUCUUCAAUGUGAGUCAUCAGACAUGAAAAAGAACAGAGGUUUGUCUGUGAUGAGAUCAAUGCAGAUUUAAUUCUGUUUGUUGUUGUUUUUGCACGGAGCACCGAAUGUCCUCUUGGGGAGAUUAGAUUUAUAUCCGUUUAAAAAAACAAUAACCUUUGUGUGUGACCUCAUUCCGAGCAGCGUCACAAGUUUUUAAGGUUGAAUAAAUCCUAAAACCAGGAAAUGAGUCUACAAUCGUUGAUGUAGUGUCAUGUGACCCUGGUCAUGUGACCGGGGUGGAGAUCCCUUAAAGCCUAACGUGAUGUCAUGUGACCCUGGUCAUGUGACCGUGGUGGAGAUCCCUUAAAGCCUAACGUGAUGUCAUGUGACUGUGGUCAUGUGACGUGGUGGAGAACCCUUAAAGCCUAACGUGAUGUCAUGUGACCGUGGUCAUGUGACCAUGGUGGAGAUCCCUUAAAGCCUAACGUGAUGUCAUGUGACUGUGGUCAUGUGACCGUGGUGGAGAUCCCUUAAAGCCUAACGUGAUGUCAUGUGACUGUGGUCAUGUGACGUGGUGGAGUUCAUCAUUGAUAAUUGUGUUGAUGAAGCAUACGUAUGAAUAUCAUAACAGAGAUUAUCUUCUUCAGUAAUCUCAGAUCCAAUCUGCUUUCUGUGGGAUGGAACCAGUUAACUUCCUGUUGGACUCCAUCAUCCCUGCAGCGCUGCAGCUUUAACUUCGGCGCAAAGUGUGUAAAUACAGUAAUGCAUCUUAUGUUUACAUAUGAGGCCCAAAUAGUCAACUGGAAUCAUGUGACCGGGGGGUGGUUGAGGGGGGGGCUCCUCAAACACGCUACUGAAAACAUUCCCAUCUGUGCUCCGAGCAAACAGGAGCCAAUGUAAUCUGCUGCUGAAGCCCGACUCGCACUGUUUAUGCCCAGCAGUGAAUGAUGCUGCGCGAUGUCUCGCUGGGGGGGGGGGUGAGGGGGGACGAGGGGGGGCAGGAAAGAUCAAACCUCGCAGAUUGGCCUUGGUUUCUACUCGCGAAUGAUUGAUUGCCAGCUAAACAACAUUACCAAUUUAAAUCUGCCCUCAGGUUCGUCAGCAACUGUUUCCGGACCGGAGGAGAAAUUGAUUGAAGCUGCAGCAACAAAAUGAAUCUGUUUUCUUUUUGCAUUAAGAUCAUGGAGGAGUUUUUAACCAGAGUGUAUGUAGAGCGAGGCGAGAGCCCCUCCCCUCCCCCCCGGGCCCCAGAGGCGAAUGCUACGCUAACACAGCGAGUCCGAGCGGCUCUGAACGGCUGAUAUUCGGGGACGUUCUGUGUGGAUUUACAUAGAUAUUCAUACCAGUUCCCUACAUUUCUAAACGAUUUGUUUGGACCCGUUUGUCUUGCGUUGCCAGUUGGGGGCCUCGUCGAAGGCCCCCACUCGCUGCUUUGAUGUGCGGACCAGCGAUGUGUGCUGAUGACCAGGAGGCGGGGCUUCAUUUCUGAUGCCAGACAUACAAAAACAUGGAUAAACGAAUUCAAACGAAUCAAAAGCAGGGCACUGCUGUGUGUGUGUGUGUGUGUGUGUGUAACCCCAAGACAUCAGAUAUCAGAAUCUAAACCUGGUGAGUCGACACCAGUAGUAAAUAUGAGCGCUUGUACAAGCCGUCAUUGGCGGACUAUGAGGACGCCGGAUGGCCUCUGAUUCAUGGAGGGAGAUCUCCACAAACGAGGGGGACAAAGUCGUGGAGGAAAAUACGGGACAAAUGUGUCCUUGAUGAAAAGCAGCAGUGUGGAUGCACGGGGCAAUAAAGUCUAUGAUACAUAAAUAAAGCAACCAGCGACUUCCACACACAAAGACGUGACUCUCCAGGUCGUCCACCACCUCCACCUUUAGAUACACAUGUAUUCAUAUCUAGUGAUGGAGGUGAUGUAUUUCUGCGCACACAUGCAGGUAUAGAAGUGACCUGGAGGUAUGGAUCAUCUGAAGCUGAGCCCUGCUGCUGUGGGUCAGAGGUCACCCUCGGGCCAUCCUUUGUUCUUAGAUGAGACACUGGAGAUGACUGUCAGUUACAAAGAGAGCAGUCAGGAGGAAGGACAACGAGAACAUGGACCACCGGGAAGGAGAUGAAAGCAGCCGAGCCGCUGAUCCUUCACCCGAAGCUCAAAGACGAUCGCUCUCACUCCGUCAGCCGGAUCAGCCAAUCAGCACAGCAUCAGCCCCCGUCCGGCCCCUCCCCCUGCGGCCGACACUGUCCUCUGGCUCAGAGUCAGGGGGGACGUGUACGAGAAGCUCCGCCCGUCCUCUUGAGACACUCAGCUACACAGUGCGUGAAAACGUCCCGAAUACACGUUUGAGUCGACCACUAAAGUUCAUACACAUGUUACCCCCCCCCUGACCCCCCCCAAGGAACACGGAGACUUCUGACCUUGAAUAUUUCUGUGACCCUCUCGACAGUGAUUUAUUCCGGGGGUCAAGACGCCGGCUUCGUGGAAGCAAUAAAGAUGCACAAAACAAGAAAAGACAGGCGCGACCCGCUCGCCCUCCGAGCCGCCGCUUCUGAUGGAGUCUGAAACCCAAUCUGUCAGGUGGGGGGCGAGGGACCAGGGACCACAACACACCAUCAGCAGCGCACAGAGGCAAAACAAACAAGAGGCAUUCAUCAUCGUCAGGCUGCACGGCGAAGACGCUCCGAGAGGCCGAUGUUCCAGAGAACGGAGGUUAAUGACACGCCGCCUCGCCGCCUGCCGUCGCAGGAGGAGACACCAGGUGAUGCGUGAAGGGGGGGAGGGGGCUUUAGAGAGAUGUCCCACGACGACAAGAGGUAAUUUCACACGAUAGACGUGUAUACACUGUAAAUGCGUUCAGCUUCUCGGCUGUAGUGUGUGUUCAGACAACGUUGGCUUGUCUGUGUGUCUGUGUGCGUGCGUGUUUGUGUGUGUGUGUGUGUGUGUGUGUGUGUGUCUGUGUGUGUUCCCACACUAAGAGGACAACAGUAAUUAAACGGGAUUUAAAGGGCACCCGAAGAUUCCCAUUUAGAAGUGACACCCUCUCUGUGAAACUCAUUACGGAACACUAACGGAGGCAUUAGCCAUCAGAUGGGGACAUGUGACCAGGGCAUCAAUCACCCGCCUCUCUAUUCAAAUGAUAAGCGCCGGCCUUCGGGUGACGGCGUCCUCCUGCAGCGCUCGUACAGAUCCUGAGAAGUCAGGUGGUACGUGACCGAGGUGAUAAUGAAACAGGAAGUACGAAGUGAAACGGCCCCCAAGGAGACUUCUGGGAGUCCGCUGUGGAUUCUGGUCACAUGACUCAGGUACCCAGACAAUGUUCUUUAACCUAAUCAAGUAUUUUACCAUCAUCUCAUUUCCUGAUUCAUUUAUUCACAAUCUAUUUCUUAAUUGAUUUCAAGAUAACUUCAUGAACCUUAUUUUACAGAGACACCUCAGUAAUUUCGUUGCCUACGUAACGAGCACCAAUAGACACGUGUAGGAUUAUCAGAGGAAACCAAGCAGUGACUUGCUUCAGGUCCUGAUCUUCUGUUGUACCUUCUCAGAAUAUCUAGGACUCCAUUGAGUAGAUUAAUCAUCUGGUCAAAGGGUGAAAAAAGACAAAGACAUGCCACAAUUUGACAGAUCACAGCUGAUUCCUCGGAUAGAGGAAAAGAAUGUCUUUGAUGAAGGUCAUUCAUGAAGGUCUUCCAUGAAGAUCUUCCACGCAGGUCUUCCAUGAAGGUCAUCCACAAACGUCAUCCAUGGAGGUCUUCCAUGCAGGUCAUCCUUGCAGUUCUUCCAUGGAGGUCUUCCAUGCAGGUCAUCCUUGCAGGUCUUCCAUGGAAGUCUUCCAUUCAGGUCUUCCAUGCAGGUCAUCCUUGCAGGUCUUCCAUGGAAGUCUUCCAUUCAGGUCAUCCUUGCAGGUCUUCCAUGGAGGUCUUCCAUGCAGGUCUUCCAUGCAGGUCAUCCAUGCAGGUCUUCCAUGGAGGUCUUCCAUGCAGGUCAUCCUUGCAGGCCCGAUCUCUGCUCCAUGAGCCACUGUUUAUCACCCCCCCCGUUUAUCAUCCUCUAUUCAAAUCACAAAGCGUGAAAUAAAACGUCUGUUAGUUUGCUCUAAACCCGCCGACCUGUGAUUAUAUUCUAUUCAAUGGUUUGAUCUUAUUUAUUAGAAGCGUUGAACCAAACGACCAAUCAGAAGACUUCACACUAGUGUGGCCAAACAAUUUGCUCUGCCUAUUAAAUACAGGAACUUCUCCAUGACAACCUCCACAGUGGUUACACACACACACACAGACACACACCCACACACAGCUCUAACAAAAAGGACAGACUUGUGACCUCUGUGUUGCCACCUCGCUGGGAAAUAGCCUAUUUCACAGGGGAUGAGAGGCUAAUCUGGCUGUAAUGACUAUUCUCGGCUCGGCAUCACCUCACACUGCACACGUGUAUAGUGUGUGUGUGUGUGUGUGUGUGUGCAUGUGCGCGCAUGUGAGUCAAAGGCUUCUGAGCAACUGUUUUCCACCUCCUGACCUUUGCCCUCUUCUUUCCCCUCCUCAUGAACGUCAUGUCAUGGAUGAAGAACGACGCAGAUUGAACCUGGCGUCCGAAUGUUGAACAAACAGCCGGACCGGGUGGGCAGGGGGUUGUGGGGGGGGGGGGCAUCGGUUCACGUUUAGCUUCCAGGACCACAGGUGGCGUGUUACCGGCUGGAUUUUCCCAUGAUGCUUCAGAGCUCCUCCAUGUCUGAAGCAACAACAAAUGUGUUAAGAGCAAAUCUCUUCCUCUGCAAACAAUAAAUGUUUUUUAGUUUUUGUAAUGGAACUAAAACACCUUUGAUUUAACAAGAAUAACCCAUGAGCCGAGCUUGGCUGGAGUGGGCGGGGCUUAACGAGCCAGGAUCUUUAUUGGUGGGUUCGGCUCCUGAACCGCUGGAGCAACGGGCCUCUUCUGUAAAAGGAUCCGUCCCAUCAGUCGUCGGCGGAGCUCACACAAAUCAACCGGUGGAUCUGCUUCUCGUCCUGAAUCCACAUCCGUCAAAGCAGCACAAAGGCGUUUUUACCUUUCUCUGCUUUGAAUACCGCCAGCAGAAUCGAUGCUUACCAACAAGGUUGCCAGGCACCAGUUGCUUAGUAACCACUGGGCCAUUGCUUUCCACUACAGAAACCACUCACUAAUUCUAUGUCAGAGCUAAAUUUAGAAGGCGCCUUUGAUUUAUACCCCCCCCCCCCCUUGCUGGAUUGACAGAAGUCGGCUGCACAGAAGUAGUCUGCCUCCGAACAGGGUGGGCGCGCUUGAUUUUCACCCCCUCAGCGCCGUCCAUCUGCUGGCCCUGAAAUCAAAAAGGGCUGCCAGCUGAUAGGAGCAGGUAGAGCCCCAUUAGGGCAGCUGAUUGGCUCUCAGGUGUGUCUGCUGCUGAUUGGAAGGUAGAGCCCCAAUAGGGCAGCUGAUUGGCUCUCAGGUGUGUCUGCUGCUGAUUGGAAGGUAGACAAGAAGGAAAAUAUCUUAAAUGUUAAUCCACCAGAAUUCUUUCCUGUGCAGCGAACGUUACCUGGAUUUGAUGGAAAUGGUCAAAGCGCCACUAAGUCACGGUACUUUUUGAAGAUGGUUUCUCUUUUAGUGAUGGGUUGAAUACCACUUGUUGUCAAUGUACCACAACGCUUUGACAGCAGUGACGUGACAAUAAUUGUGAUUGAAAAAGAAAGUCGAGUUGAACAAUUAGGCAGACGUUACGCCAAUUAUUUUCAAACCGUGUAUGUUUUUUCCCCCAAUGGCUUUCAAAAGCACAUCAAGUAAAACCACCAAAUGCAAAUAAAGGGUCACCAGAGAAACCACAGAAACAGGCAGUAAACACAGGGGUGAAAGCCUUAAACAGGCUAAAUUAAAUAUGGAGUUUUCACUCAAAUCUCUUUAGUUAUGAAUGUGUAUGUUAAGUUAUCGAUUCGUCCCCCAAAAAACUAAUAAACAAUCUUUUUUAUCCACUUUAGCAAGUAAUUAUCAUCCAAUCACUAAAUAUGUGUGGGCAACAAUAGAAAGACAAUAGUUUGUUGUCCAGAGAUGGAAAAAUAGUUAUUAAAUGUAUUUAUUUAAAGGUUUUAUUAUAAAUGUCCCAUCUCUCUUUUACAUAAAUAACAUAUGAGUAUGUCAGAAAAGAGACAAAACAAAUAAACUAAAACGAAAUAUUAAGUCUAAGUAUUGUUGACAUGGAGCGACAGGAUUAAAUAACAAAGUCAUAAGAAUGAAUUUUUAACACAUGAUCCAAUAAUAUGGCUCGGAAGGUCUCGGCUGGUCAGGAGGAAGCUCACAAAAGAACCGGCGCUGCAACGAGGCUGCACAGCGCCGGGAGGACGGGGGAGGACGGGGGGAGGAGGGAAGAGGACGGGGGAGGACGGGGGAGGAGGG